This is an RNA transcript of Phalaenopsis equestris, 1034 nucleotides long. RefSeq lists it as uncharacterized. NCBI's taxonomy places the organism in Eukaryota, Viridiplantae, Streptophyta, Magnoliopsida, Asparagales, Orchidaceae. The record is from RefSeq and is a predicted model, not a curated record.
UGUGGAGUGUCCUGAUGUAAUAUUCUCAAUAACUAGGCACGAAAGCUGGGUGCUGCCGCGCCCCCACCAAAAUGAACGCCAGCAGCGUCGGGGCCACUUCGCCGGCGACACUCCAUCGUUUUCGCAUCCACCGCAGAAUAAAUUUAGCUUCUUUAGCUUAUUCCUCUCCUUUUAAAUUUUGGGCUUCACCUCUCUCGCUCCACAUCUCUUCUAUCCUCCGCCGACCCCGCGGCCGUCCUCCUCCGACGGACCAACGCCUUCGCCAGAAACCCAUCGAUCCUGACCGAAACGUCGAGUUCUGCUUCGAUUUAAACGAUCUCUCAGCUCGUACGUUGGCGAGUAUCAAGCGGCAUUUCCGCUCAUCCGAGGCCAAGAUCGAUCGGUUCUUUGCCUCCGGUGUCGAGGCCUACAAUGAUUUGAAAACUUCCCUGAGAGUAGAUCGAGGUAGUCGAAUCGUGUUCUCCUGUCGGAGGUCUUCGCUUCAAUUUUUUGGGAAUUUGUUCAUCUGGAGCUUUAUUGCCAUCUUUGCGUUGAGGUUUUUAUUAUGGCUUUGGUCUUUUCGACACCGUUGGGUUUUUGUUGGUUGGUCGGUAACGCGAAGGGACCGCAGUCUAGGGGGUAGGGAAGUGGUUGUCGGGAGGAGGGAUAGGAUGCGCGAGUCUGAGCGGAGAGGUUUUAAGGGUUUGGUGAAUCCCCUUUCUACUGUGGGAGGAAAAGAUUUAAGGAGUAGAGCGACCUUGAUGGAUAAGAAGAACAAUAUACAGGAAAAGCUGCCAAAAUGGUGGCCGGGUUCCAUACCUUCGCGGGUUAUUUUCUUUGCAGAAAGCGAGGGCCAAAGAGAUGUUAACAAAUUAGUCAAAGGUAAAUGCAACUCUAUUUUGCAUAUGAAAUUUGGAUGAUUCAUUCAUGCCUUUCUUCCACGGAUCAUUUCAUGUUGAUUUAAUUGCCAGCAAUCAUGGAUAACAGAAUGAGCGGAAUGGAUUAUAAAGAUGAUGAUAUAAUACGACUUCGAGAGAUAUGUAAAACUUCGGGUG